GAGUUUGAUCCUGGCUCAGGGUGAACGCUGGCGGCGUGCUUAAGACAUGCAAGUCGAACGCAGUCGCUCCGCAAGGGGCGGCUGAGUGGCGAAUGGGUGCGUAACACGUAGGUGACCUGCCCGGAAGUGGGGAAUAACAGUCCGAAAGGACUGCUAAUACCGCAUGCGGUGCACGGGUUUAGAAGCCGUGCUCCAAAGGUUUCCGCAAGGAAGCCGCUUUCGGAGGGGCCUGCGGCCCAUCAGCUAGUUGGUAGGGUAACGGCCUACCAAGGCGACGACGGGUAGGGGACCUGAGAGGGUGACCCCCCA
RNAcentral lists this ribosomal RNA (309 nucleotides) under uncultured bacterium. RNAcentral describes it as "bacterial SSU rRNA". It matches the Rfam family "Bacterial small subunit ribosomal RNA", at positions 9 to 310 of the family's 1533-position model. The record is from RNAcentral.